GUGAACGCUGGCGGUAGGCCUAACCCAUGCCAGUCGAACGGCAGCACAGUAAGCGCUUGCUCUUACGGGUGGCGAGUGGCGGACGGGUGAGGAAUACAUCGGAAUCUACUUUUUCGUGGGGGAUAACGUAGGGAAACUUACGCUAAUACCGCAUACGACCUACGGGUGAAAGCAGGGGAUCUUCGGACCUUGCGCGAUUGAAUGAGCCGAUGUCGGAUUAGCUAGUUGGCGGGGUAAAGGCCCACCAAGGCGACGAUCCGUAGCUGGUCUGAGAGGAUGAUCAGCCACACUGGAACUGAGACACGGUCCAGACUCCUACGGGAGGCAGCAGUGGGGAAUAUUGGACGAUGGGCGCAAGCCUGAUCCAGCCAUACCGCGUGGGUGAAGAAGGCCUUCGGGUUGUAAAGCCCUUUUGUUGGGAAAGAAAAGCAGCAGGUUAAUACCCCGCUGUUCUGACGGUACCCAAAGAAUAAGCACCGGCUAACUUCGUG
RNAcentral lists this ribosomal RNA (491 nucleotides) under uncultured bacterium. RNAcentral describes it as "partial 16S ribosomal RNA". It matches the Rfam family "Bacterial small subunit ribosomal RNA", at positions 29 to 507 of the family's 1533-position model. The record is from RNAcentral.